GCGGCGGGCGCAGCCCCCGCUGGGACGGGCGGGUCCGCCGGCCGCCGCCACCGCUAACGAAGGGGUCCAGAGGCCAGCGUGGUCCCAAAGUGGAGACCGGACGUGGAACGCGUGGCCGAGGCGGGACACGCGGAGGGUAGCGCGAGGAAAGAGAGCGCCGCGCAUCGGCCGCAGGCCGGGCCGGGCCCCCACGGACCGAGCGAUGUCCGCCCGGGCCAGGCCGGCCACCUCUCACCGGAACCGCGUCCACGGGCCACGCUUUCUGCAGGUUCAAGACCAAGGGCGGCUCAGCCUCCCUCCGACACUUCUCGAGGGCAGCGCUCAGAGCACCCCGUGCCCAGGAAAGAAUGCUUUCUGCCAUGUAUUUUAAAACUGGUGUUUAUCCUGGAGAUAGAAUGUGUCCUGCCAUAGUGCUCGUCCUUUGAGUAAGAUCAAGAAUGUUUAGCAUGGAGACCUGCAGAACAGCAAGACAUUCUUGUGAGAAAUGCCACAUCAUCCAUACUCUAUAUUGUUUUUGUGUGUGUCUUCUUGUGCACUGUGGAUUGAACACAGGGCCCAAGGAAAGCUAAGCAAUCACUGAGCUAUAUCUGUAAGCCAGUCAUCCUCACCUGAUGGUCUGAGUUGAAAAAGGAUUCUGAGCAACUGUGAAUGCCAUCCAGUUUUAAUAAAGAAGUCACUAGCAUAUCCAUUGGAACGUUUGCCGUGAUGUUCACAAAGACAAGCCUAAGACCCAAACCUGAGACGCACAAGGGAAGAAAACAAGCCUUAUCUUCUGUGUCAUAAAUAAAGGCUAUGAAACUGUGA
This is a long non-coding RNA of Dipodomys spectabilis (banner-tailed kangaroo rat), 804 nucleotides long. RefSeq lists it as uncharacterized. The record is from RefSeq and is a predicted model, not a curated record. NCBI's taxonomy places the organism in Eukaryota, Metazoa, Chordata, Mammalia, Rodentia, Heteromyidae. The transcript has 4 exons.